ACGACUCUCGGCAACGGAUAUCUCGGCUCUCGCAUCGAUGAAGAACGUAGCGAAAUGCGAUACUUGGUGUGAAUUGCAGAAUCCCGCGAACCAUCGAGUCUUUGAACGCAAGUUGCGCCCGAGGCCACCCGGCCGAGGGCACGCCUGCCUGGGCGUCACGCACCUUGCC
This 169-nucleotide ribosomal RNA is filed under the name Magnolia ovalis. RNAcentral's name for it is "5.8S ribosomal RNA". It matches the Rfam family "5.8S ribosomal RNA". From Rfam's summary of the family: 5.8S ribosomal RNA (5.8S rRNA) is a component of the large subunit of the eukaryotic ribosome. It is transcribed by RNA polymerase I as part of the 45S precursor that also contains 18S and 28S rRNA. The record is from RNAcentral. RNAcentral also lists the same sequence under 1 other name. Lineage: Eukaryota; Viridiplantae; Streptophyta; Magnoliopsida; Magnoliales; Magnoliaceae.